UGGUGGAGUGAUUUGUCUGGUUAAUUCCGAUAACGAACGAGACCUUAACCUGCUAAAUAGGAACAAGCGACACUUUCGGGCGGAAUGAUACGGACUAUGCUAAGCGUCGCUUCGGCGGCGUGGCCGUAUGGCACCGGUCAUCCGUUCGUCCUUGGCCUACUUCUUAGAGGGACUGCCGGUGUUGCAACCGGAGGAAGUUUGAGGCAAUAACA
This 212-nucleotide ribosomal RNA is filed under the name uncultured eukaryote. Its description in RNAcentral is "partial 18S ribosomal RNA". It matches the Rfam family "Eukaryotic small subunit ribosomal RNA", at positions 1299 to 1458 of the family's 1831-position model. The record is from RNAcentral.